Long non-coding RNA from Prunus dulcis (almond), 335 nucleotides. RefSeq lists it as uncharacterized. The transcript is spliced from 3 exons. NCBI's taxonomy places the organism in Eukaryota, Viridiplantae, Streptophyta, Magnoliopsida, Rosales, Rosaceae. The record is from RefSeq and is a predicted model, not a curated record.
GACCUAGAGAAACCAAAUCUCCCUCUGUCUCAGAUGUUCAAGUAUAAGAUAAAGGUGAGUGAUGCACGUAGAGCAUGGAUGAAGAGUCGUGAAAUGUUGGAGAAUUGCUCUACAGGUUUUCAUUUCCCUUCCCAAUACGAAGAAGGAAUCCAAGUUUUUGAAAAGGUGAAACCAUUAAAGUUGCUGCAUUUCUACAGAGCAGAUUAAUAGAGUUGGCUUCAAGAACACUGGGAACCAUGCGGUCAGUUGUUUUAGCUUCUCACCGUAGCAUGUAUGUUUCACUUCUAACGUGCACCUUCUUGUUGUAUAUGAUUGGCUCAUGACUAGGACUUUGG